Long non-coding RNA from Ctenopharyngodon idella (grass carp), 2596 nucleotides. RefSeq lists it as uncharacterized. NCBI's taxonomy places the organism in Eukaryota, Metazoa, Chordata, Actinopteri, Cypriniformes, Xenocyprididae. The record is from RefSeq and is a predicted model, not a curated record. The transcript is spliced from 4 exons.
GAAUUAUUUACUUGUUGCUGCUUGCUGAUCCUCCCUGAUAGCUGGACUCCUGUGCCGAGCUCUUCUCAAGGACCAGAACGGCUUUACCAUGUUCCUCCAGGCGGACGGUGUUGGCUUCGACAUCCUGCAGUUAAAUUCAGGAAGUGGCAGUUGUCCUCUCUUAGGAUGAUUGUGGCAGAACGAGGGGCGUCGUUCACUAAGGCCAACUGCCCAAAGUCAUCUCCCUCAUGGAGCGUGGUCACUAAGCCCUGUGUGACGCACAUACACAAGAUCAUCUUUCCUUAAGAGAAACAGUGUGAAUAUCCUCAAACAAUGCCUGGAUUACGCUCCAUCAGAGUGCUGUAAACCACCCGCGCAGCCUUCAAGAUUCGGUCGGACAAAAACUGACAGAGAAACAGAAAAAAGGCUCUGCUGGACCCCCCGCAGAUGGCGCAUCCCGCUCCAACUCCCAAACAGACUGAGAAAACUGGAGUGUAAAAACUCAACCUCAUUGAUCGAGGCUACAGUUUAUUGAACUACUGAAGCAUGCCACCGUUGUUGCUACGCAGCCUUCAUUUUUUUUUCUGCACGCCUGCCAAGACCAACUCACUGAUCACAUGGUGAUAAAACUGGUUCGGUGUAUUGACACUCUGUAAAAAACUGUUGAAGUGGAGACAAACAUAGGAUACAAACAAGUAGGGAUGGCAAGCUUUGCAUUAGAAGCGAGAUAUUGAAGAUUUUCCUGCUAAAAAGGCAUCAAGUUUCAAGCUGGUUUGCACCAACGAAAGGAAGCUUGAGUGAUUGAAGUGGUUUUAGUAGAGAUCACACACACCGAAAUACACCUAAUUUUUACAUUUAUGCUUCAGAACAUCAAAAGCUCCAAGUUCAAAGCGAAACGCCACAAGCUGUUGCAUGAGGCCAAAACAGCAUAGCAACCAAAGUAAAUCUGAUAACUGCUUGUGCAUUUACUGAAGAAAAUGAGAGUGGUGGUGGCCACAAAACUUGCUGUCAUGAUGCUGAGGUGUUGUGUGACUGAGCAGUUGCUAGGGCAUUGCUAUGUGAUUGCUAAGGUGUUCUGUGUGGUAUUUAGCCUGUUAGGUUUAGGUGGUUGCUUAUUGCUCCAAAUCAAAAGUACAUACACUACUAUUAAAAAAAUGUUUUUUUUUUUGUUAACUUUAUUUAUUUAAGGUGGCGUAGUUACACGUUACUACAUGUACUUACUCUAGUAAUAACAGUAAAAUUAUGCAUAAUUACAAGUAACUAACCCUAAACCUAACCCUAAACAUACCUCUAUUAUUUGAGUAAGUACAAUGUAACAUCACAUCAAGUGUAACCGAUUUAAAAAAAAAAAAAAAAAACUUAUGUAUUUAUUUGAUCAAAAGUAUAGUAAAAACAGUAGUGUUGUUAAAUAUUUCUACACUUUAAAAAUAAAUGUUUUCUAUUUUAAUAUAUAUUAAAUGUCAUUCAUUCCUGUGAUGACAAAGCUGUUUUUUUAGCAUAAUUACUCCUCAGUGUCACAUGAUCCUUUCAGAAAUCAUCCUAAUAUGCUGAUUUGGUCCUUAAGAAACAUUUAUUAUUAUCAUCAAUGUUGAGAACAGUUGUGCUGCUUAAUAUUUUUGGGGAAACCAUGAUACAUUUUUUCAGGAUUUUUUGAUUUUACAGCAUAUAAUUUAAACAGCAAUAUUUUGUAACACUGUAAAUGUCUUUACUGACACUUUUGAUCAAUUUAAUACAUCCUUGCUGAAUAAAAGUAUUAAUUUCUUUAAAAAAUCUUAUUGACCCCAACCUUUCGAACGGUAAUGUAUUUUUAGUGUGAGGUACAGUAUUAAGUAGUGAAACAUACUAACAUAAUAUCUUAACAUCUAGCUAAAUUCAUUACCUUAUGAUUUAUAAUUACUAGAUUUGGAUUUAUCUUUAUAACAAAUCAUACACACAACCACUGUGGCACUCAAAAUUGCUUAUCUUACCAUUUUUCUACAACUGAAAAGUCAAAAGACAACAGUCACAAACUCAUUGUGGGCAAUAUUAGCUCAAAAACCAACUAGAAAUAUGCAAGCACCUUUUUAAUAUCCUUUUAGAACACUUAUUGCAAUCUUGCAUACUAUUUAGGAUGGAUCGUAUGUGAUUUGGGACACAUGCUUCUGCUCCACCCUAUCAUUCCUUAGUCUUGUGAUUUUCUGGAAAGUUUGAACCUUUAUUUGUUUGUUCUGUAUCCUCUGCAGAACAGUUUGUCCCAGGAUGAGGUCUUGAACUUGAAUCGCCUUCAUUUCUCACACUUUAUUUGUUGUGGUUGUUGCUGAGGGCGGUGACGUGCGCCCCUUUCUUGGAGGCCCCUGGCCUGGUCGGUCAGUCACGGUGAUGUAAUUGGCUUCUGACCCAUGAGGGAUCGGCUGACCCGUCUUUUCAGUCCAAAAGGAGGCCACAUCUACAGUUCUGCUCUCACAAGGCCACUUCACUAAACGCUGCACAAGGACAGCACUGUAUACAGCAUGUGCUUGUUCUCCAGUCUACAUAAUCCAGGGGCAAUUUCAGAGUUAUUAUUCUCUUAAAGGGUUAGUUCACCCAAAAAUGAAAAUUAUGUCAUUUAUCACUCACCCUCAUGUCGUUCCACACCCGU